ACUCCCUCUGUCACUUUGUCAAUGGACUUACAGCUUCAUCAGUUAUUCAAGUGGGGUGAGGGAAACAUCCUUUUAAGACUCAGGCAAAUGGAGUGCUUCUCUUAUAAACAUUUGAGGAAAAUAAAU
RNAcentral lists this small nucleolar RNA (126 nucleotides) under Chinchilla lanigera (long-tailed chinchilla). RNAcentral's name for it is "Small nucleolar RNA SNORA27 (ENSCLAG00000019697.1)". It matches the Rfam family "Small nucleolar RNA SNORA27". From Rfam's summary of the family: ACA27 is a member of the H/ACA class of snoRNA that guide the sites of modification of uridines to pseudouridines. Lineage: Eukaryota; Metazoa; Chordata; Mammalia; Rodentia; Chinchillidae. The record is from Rfam by way of RNAcentral.